RNAcentral lists this ribosomal RNA (395 nucleotides) under bacterium enrichment culture. Its description in RNAcentral is "bacterial SSU rRNA". It matches the Rfam family "Bacterial small subunit ribosomal RNA", at positions 521 to 916 of the family's 1533-position model. The record is from RNAcentral.
UAAUACGAAGGGGGCUAGCGUUGCUCGGAAUUACUGGGCGUAAAGGGCGCGUAGGCGGACAUUUAAGUCAGGGGUGAAAUCCCGAGGCUCAACCUCGGAACUGCCUUUGAUACUGGGUGUCUUGAGUGUGAGAGAGGUAUGUGGAACUCCGAGUGUAGAGGUGAAAUUCGUAGAUAUUCGGAAGAACACCAGUGGCGAAGGCGACAUACUGGCUCAUUACUGACGCUGAGGCGCGAAAGCGUGGGGAGCAAACAGGAUUAGAUACCCUGGUAGUCCACGCCGUAAACGAUGAUUGCUAGUUGUCGGGCUGCAUGCAGUUCGGUGACGCAGCUAACGCAUUAAGCAAUCCGCCUGGGGAGUACGGUCGCAAGAUUAAAACUCAAAUGAAUUGACGG